This 187-nucleotide unclassified non-coding RNA is filed under the name Glomeromycetes sp. RNAcentral's name for it is "partial contains 5.8S ribosomal RNA and internal transcribed spacer 2". The stretch from base 1 to 71 matches the Rfam family "5.8S ribosomal RNA", at positions 84 to 154 of the family's 154-position model. Lineage: Eukaryota; Fungi; Glomeromycota; Glomeromycetes. The record is from RNAcentral.
GUGAAUCAUCAAAUUUUUGAACGCAAAUUGCACUCUCCGGUUUUCCGGAAAAGUAUGCCUGUUGAGGGUUAGGCCUAAUAAAAAUCGACAUGGUUGCCGCUUUUUGUUGACUUUCACCGGAGGUGGGUUAUCUUAAAUCCUUUUGAUUUACGCGACUUAAAAUAUGCUUUUGUUUCACUUAACUAUU